GUGUUGCAGAUUGCACUGCUGUCUGUGCGGCACUUGGGAUCCGAGACCGCGGCCGCCCCCCUGGCGGCUUUCCCACGGGGACUUGCUCCUCUCACCGCAGGAAGGACUGCAUUCCACCUGCUACCUGCUUGCGGCCAGCACAGCAGUGCAUGUCUGUACUGGCUGAAGUGAUUAUUAACUCGUUUAAUGUUAGACAUCAGUAUUAGAGAAGCUCCACUGGAGGACAGCCUCAGUGUGGGGGUUCUCCUGGAGCUGGUAAUGGAUGGAGGCCAGAAGAGUCAGCUCUUAACUUGGAGGAUCACCUUCAUCAAUUUUUUCAUGUGAAAAGAUCUCCUGUGAUCUGAGUACGUAUGCAGACACCCACCACCAACAUGCUGAGCAGAGGAGAAACAGCAGGCACUGGGCCAGGCAUUGAGUGGGCAGAAAUCCAGCCAGCGCAGCACACACGAGCCUCCUGCUGUCCUGCCGGCCGGCCUGUGACACGAGGGCUGGGUCAUGACCCCGCAAGGUAUUUAGGAUUCUACAAUGGUCGCACUGUAAUCAUUAGGCUUCUGAUUCCAGUAAGUAAGGCAGAAGGAGGACUCCUGAAGCCUCCGAAGGAAGGAAAUCAUUACAGGGCCCUACAGAAGUAGGUCAUGUGCUACAGCUGCUCAUAGUUUAAGAGGAAGAAACAUGGGACCUCAAACCUGGAACACAACUCUUUCAAAAUGCUUGAGAGCAGCCCAAGAAAAACAUCCUCCCGAGGCUUAUCUAAUAACCAUGAUCUAUAAUCGUCUCAAUGUGUGCUUGCAUUUCCUUCGGAGUUUGCACCUACUUCCCAGAGCUAACGAGAUGCUGAAACAGAACACAGAAAAAUUUAAUGAAGGGGAUUUAAUAGUUUGUGUUAAAGCUAAUAUGGUCCAUUAGGAGCUGUCAUUUUUAUAAACAAUGAAGAUAUGUUACCCUCUCCUUUGGUGUAAAGUCAUUCCAUGCAGGACCUGUAAACAUUCAGUAAUGAUCUGUAGAACUUGCAUGAAAGACAAUUAAGACACCACUUGAAAAGUCUCUUUUCCUCACAUAUUUGGUUUCUUGCUAAAUAAACUCGUAAAGAUCAUACAUGUGUCGGCGUAUGCUCACGUCGUACAGAAUAACACGUGUGCGCACUGCCUUAACACAAAAAAUAGACAUCUUAUAAGUGAGUUUGGUUUCUAUGAGCUCGGGAAAUAUCAGAGGCGAUUAGUUAAAUUAGGAUCACAGUUUCUGUUCUUUGGUUGGUGCUAUAAUAAUAGAACAACCGCUAUGCUAUGGUAGGGCAGGGAACAUAAAAUUAACAGUUCACAAUGCCAUUAAAGGCGCAAUGACAACCUUUGAAAGUUGUAAAUAAAACAGUUCCAUAAAAUCUAUUUAUUGCAAAGAUAGUAGGUUCUGGUAGGAUCCAAAUAAUACCUUUCGGAAUUUAUUUUUUAAUUGCAGCCGGCACCGGGCAGGGGCAGGGCUUUAGGAGCCGUAUACCUUUUUGGGGACUGGCUGAAUGUACUUGAGAAAAUGAAAUCUACUUGACUCUCUCUGACUUCGUAAAUAGAAUUUGCUUCCUUGCUCUCCGUUUUCUUAAAGACAAACGGUUCCUUCUUAUAGGUUUUAGGUCUGGCAGGGUUUGCUGAAAAAUUCUUCUAGCUCCUUUACGUUUCCUUCUGUGGAUAAGAGGGAAAGGUGGGGGGAGGAGGGAGUGGGGAGGUCCAGAUUAAAAUUAUUCUAGUUAUUCACAUAGACUUGAAAGCUCCGGUGAAGAGUUUUGAGGAGUAGCCUCGGGCAGAACUUGCUAUCAAUGAAGGCCAGGAACAAAAAACAUUUAAAAGCAGAUUACAAAUCCCUCCUAACAAAGCAAAAUCAAAUCACUGAUCGAUAAGUGCAGCUGGGUUUAAAUUGUUUCCUUAAAAAGGCUUUAAAAACUUUUUUGAACGAGAAGCUGGAGGCUGAACCUUUCAUGCGUUAGAGCAAGUUCCUUCUGGAAAAGUCUUUCCCCUCUUUUCCAGGGAGGCCUCUCCUGGGACCAGCCAGAUCUCCUCUCUUCUUGCUAAACAUGGCCCUGUGGCUGGAAAAGGCUGGCAACAGGGUUUCCAAGAAAGGGAAAGAUGUUCUUUGAUGUAUGUCAAGUGCUCUAAGAUAUUUUAGCUUCUUCCCAACAGCCUCGCUGGCUUCCUCAUGGUCAUCCCUGAACUGUGUGCGAAAUGCCCAGACCGGGGUGUCUCCUGUUGCUAUAAAAUGAACCUGAAGCCUAAAAAAAAAAAAUUUUUUUGACAAAGAAAGGCCCCAGACAGUAGGUCACUCAAGCCACAAAAAUGUGCCGGAUAGACUGUGGCUUGCUGUCUAGAUCAAGGCCAUGUGGGGGAUGUUGAGACCUACCUCCCAGAUCCAUACUGAAACUCAGAUGCCUAGCUCUUUUGGUGACUGAAUUCCAACAGAGUUUUUGAAAAACAAGGGGAGAGAGAAAAGAAAGGAAACCAAUGAGCAAGUGGUGUUCAAUUUAUUCACAUAUGUUCCAAAUGGCACAGAGAUAAGCAAAAAAGGGUUCUGGUACAUUUUUUUAAUGAUUUCAUUAUCACCAGACAAGAAUUGAAAGAUUGUCCAGAUGCUAUUGGAAAGAUAGAAAGAUGAGAUUAAAAUUUAAAAAUAAUAAUAACACCAUGAAUGGCUCCCUGCCCCUGGGAACGGCCAAGGCCGACCUGAUGUGAUCUUUGAAGUUCGGCCUGUUUGCAAAUCAGUUUAUAAAAAGGGAAGGUGGAGAUUAGGUAGAAAAAUUUGAUUCUGGCCUGGCCCCUCUCUUGGCUCCAUGAGCAUCAUUUGAUGGUGAGGGGGUUGGGGGGUGGACUGUGAUUUUAGCCCAAUAAUCAGUGGAGGCAAAAGGUAAAGGGAGGCUCCGUUGUUCAUAUGGGCCUAGCCAGGCUGAGCGGUGGGCCGCUGGCCUCAGAGAGCCCCUGUCUCACAUACAAGGAUCUACGAAGGACAGGAAUUAGCCUGCUGCAAGAGCCACGGCUUGGGUCACAGACUUAUUCCUUCCUUUCUCCUGGGCUCCUCCUCUCCCAUAAUGUUCACCUGGAAGCAAUGCCUCCUGCCCUGUUACAAAGUGUCCUGGCCACUCUGGUCUGAAGAAAGCUUUCCCUUUCCUAGGGACUCCUCUCCUGCUCACGUGGAAAUGAUUUACCGCCUAGCAAAUGGAUUUUUUGUCUCCACACGGGUGUGCAUGUCAUCUAAGAAGACUGUAAGCUUCCAGAAGGUGAGGACAGCGGUGUUUUUAUUCCUGCUCUGGGCUCUAUUGUCCCAAUUGCUCAGUAAAAAUCGUUCUAUCACUUGAUUGAUACGGAAGCUGAAAAUAGGUGGCCAAUCACCAUGUCCAGGAAAAGUACAGGAAGGUUAAAAUCUUACCCAAGGGGACACCUGGGUGGCUCAGUGGUUAAAUGUCUGCCUUUGGCUCAGGCUGUGAUCCUGGGUCCUGGGAUCAAGUCGCAUCAGGCUCCCCACAAGGAGCCUGCUUCUCCCUCUGCUUAUGUCUCUACCUCUCUUUCUGUGUCUCUCAUGAAAAAAUAAAUAAAAUCUUAAAAAAAAAUCUUACCCAAGGACUCCAAGCCUGUUUAGCGGUAAGACUUGGCAAGUAUCACUCGAAGCAUCCUACCUGUGGAAGGAUGGAAGCAAAAAGCCUCUUUGAGAAGAAAACCUCCCUUUAAUAGCACUGCCUGUCCCCAGAGUUUUCUUCCAGAAAUCCUCUGAGAGCAAGAACUUCGACUCCAGAGUCUGGAUUCCAGGCAACAGGGGCCUCCCUGCUGCCCUUUUAUUCCAUUAAGCUAAGACCUUCCAUUACCCAGCAAAAGGAGCAAUACUCUCAUCUCCCUGAAAAUAUUUGAGUUGUAUAUGCAGCGUGGCUCACUGUCAUCUACUUUUGGCAAGACCAUUACUUUUGGUUGUUCCACUUUUAUUGUUCUGCAUGACAAAUGCAGGACACGGGUGUUUUACAGCUUCUAGAGCACUCUCUGACCUAUCUUGCAACCCCAAGAAAGUUUCUCCAGCAACAGAGUUGUUGUCUAAUGUUGGAAAUCACCUCUCUCUGCAAAAUAUUACCUGAACAUGAUAAAAAUCAGUAUGGCUAUCUGGGUUCUGUAGUUGACACAUUUUAAAGGAUGCUUAUAAAGUAGGUUCUCAAAAUUCUAACAGUAUCUAUUUGUCUUUUCUCUUAGGAUUAACUUUUUUUUUAGGUUUUAUUUUUAAGUAAUCUCUAUUGCCAACGUGGGGCUUGAACUCACAGUCCUGAGAUCAAGAGUCGCUUACACUACAUACUGAGUCAGGCAGGUGCCCCUAUAAUUCUUUAAUUUUUACCAAAAGCAUCUAUUUCUUGUUCCCAGGAAUGGAAACAAACAAUAUAUAGACGAGUGUUUAUUCUGUUAAAGGUUGAUCGCUGGCCUGCCUGUGCCACUCAAAACUUUUGCUUUUGCUCUCAGUGUGGCUUGAAGGAUGAGUCUCUCAGCUGUUAACUGUCUUCAUUAGUUGAUGUGCCACUGAAAUUCUUUUUGCA
This 4543-nucleotide long non-coding RNA is filed under the name Canis lupus familiaris (dog). Its description in RNAcentral is "lncRNA (ENSCAFG00030021822.1)". Lineage: Eukaryota; Metazoa; Chordata; Mammalia; Carnivora; Canidae. The record is from RNAcentral.